GACGAACGCUGGCGGCGUGCCUAAUACAUGCAAGUCGAGCGAAGCGGCGGAUGGGUGAGUAACGCGUGGGUAACCUGCCCUUAAGUCUGGGAUACCAUUUGGAAACAGAUGCUAAUACCGGAUACUAAAGGAUGGACCUGCGAUGCAUUAGCUAGUUGGUUAGGUAACGGCUUACCAAGGCGAUGAUGCGUAGCCUAGUGGAUCGUCUGAGCGGCCACAUUGGGACUGAGACACGGCCCAAACUCCUCUGGGAGGCAGCAGUGGGGAAUCUUACACAAUGGACGAAAGUCUGGUGGAGCCACGCCGCGUUAGUGAAGAAGGUUUUCGGAUCGUAAAGCUCUGUUGUUGGUGAAGCGGUAAUCAAUCAGAAAGUCACGGCUAACUACGUGCCAGCAGCCGCGGUAAUUC
This 408-nucleotide ribosomal RNA is filed under the name uncultured bacterium. RNAcentral's name for it is "partial 16S ribosomal RNA". It matches the Rfam family "Bacterial small subunit ribosomal RNA", at positions 28 to 526 of the family's 1533-position model. The record is from RNAcentral.